RNAcentral lists this long non-coding RNA (284 nucleotides) under Coffea arabica (coffee). Its description in RNAcentral is "long non-coding RNA (CARA_LNC000623)". The record is from RNAcentral. Lineage: Eukaryota; Viridiplantae; Streptophyta; Magnoliopsida; Gentianales; Rubiaceae.
GACACAGCAACUGGCGGUUGGCAACAAUAGUUGAGGACAUUCAGUCCAUGUGUAAUCUAUUUCAGAUGUGCUCAUUUUCUUUAGUUACGACAGGGAAAUUAGAUUGUAUCAAACUGAGCUUGCAUGCUCUUAAUAGCUGGGUUGAUGAAGAAUGGGUAAAUCUCAAUCUUAGAUGCUAACGCAUCAUGGUUUCAAAUGGGACAAUUGUCCCCUAUGUUUGGACCUUUGUCUAAUUACUGUAAAACUUUGUGAUGAGUUAUAAAACUAUCGUUUGAAUUUUGCAU